This 433-nucleotide ribosomal RNA is filed under the name uncultured bacterium. Its description in RNAcentral is "partial 16S ribosomal RNA". It matches the Rfam family "Bacterial small subunit ribosomal RNA", at positions 29 to 507 of the family's 1533-position model. The record is from RNAcentral.
AACGAACGCUGGCGGCAUGCCUAACACAUGCAAGUCGAACGAGACCGUCGUGUCUAGUUGCGCACGUGUGCGUAACGCGGGGUAACCUACCCGUAAGUUCGGUAUAACUCCCCUUAAGAUAUCCUAAUACCGCUUAAUCUCUUCGCACCAAAGAGUUAUUGCCGUUGGGUGGGCCCUCGUUAGAUUAGGUAGUUGGUAGUGUAAAAGCAUACCAUGGCCACGAUGCAGAGCUGGUCUGAGAAGCUGAUCAGCCACACUAGGAAUGAGACCCGGCCCAGACUGGUAGGGGAGGGAGCAGUGGGGUGUAUUGGAGAAUGAGCGCAAGCCUGAUAACGCAAUGCCGCGUGAGUGAUGAAGGCGUUAGGGUUGUAAAGCUGUUUUAGCCGGGAUGAGAAUGACAGUACCGGGAAAAUAAGCUCCGGCUAACUACGUG